This 450-nucleotide ribosomal RNA is filed under the name Triticum aestivum (bread wheat). Its description in RNAcentral is "partial small subunit ribosomal RNA". Lineage: Eukaryota; Viridiplantae; Streptophyta; Magnoliopsida; Poales; Poaceae. The record is from RNAcentral.
AUGGAUCCUGUCGUGACCAGCAGUAGCAGCAGCAGGAGGAGAGGAGGCUACGGCUGCAAGGAGAGCUGCCAUGGCCACUGCCUACCUCCUCACUCUGCCAAAUGCCUCUGCCUCUACCUGCUGCUCUCGCUGAUCGUCCUCGUCCUCGUCGCGGCCGUGCUGCUCGUCGUCUUCGUCACGAGGCUCAAGAAGCCGACCUUCUACCCGCAGUCCGUGCAGAUGGACAGGUCGUUCAGCCUCAGACCGGCGUCUUCGAACCGCAGCGGCGACAACGCGACGUCGUCGUCCUCGUGCUUGGUGGCGUCGCUGCUGUUCGCGGCGCAGAACCUGAACGGGAUCGGGAUAAGGAGUCCAACGUCAGCCGGCUCGUCGUCAGCGAGCUGUCGGCGCAGAGGAAGCUCGUCGAGAUCAGGAUCGCCGGGAGCAUCGACGCCACCACGCACAUCAUGA